Maniola jurtina (meadow brown) is the source of this 1260-nucleotide long non-coding RNA. RefSeq lists it as uncharacterized. NCBI's taxonomy places the organism in Eukaryota, Metazoa, Arthropoda, Insecta, Lepidoptera, Nymphalidae. The transcript has 2 exons. The record is from RefSeq and is a predicted model, not a curated record.
CAUUCUGGGGUCAUUCUACCGAAACGCAAUAUUUGUGUUCGCUUAAAAUAUAUCGUAGCUCCGUAAAUUUGAACUAAUUUUAAAACCUAAUUAUUACAUUUCAUGACCUUCUUCAACAUAUUAAAUAACUAUUUUUAUAAUUAAAUUAAAUAUUAAAUUUUACUUUAUUUCAGUGGUACAGUACGUGAUUACUCACGUCCUGUAGAAUGUUCGCGACAUAGGAUAUAAUAUUGACGUGUCUCUAAAACUUAUUUAGAAAGAUUUUACAUGUAUGGCAAAUUGAUUAUUGUGUAAAGUAUAUGACAAAGAAAGCACCACUAAAAAUAAUAAAAAAUCUCACUUAUUAUUUUAAAAGUUAUUUAUCAUUCUACAAUGUUCGUGAAAAAUAAUCACACCUGUAGAAAAAAAAUUGCCGAAAUGCUAAAAUUUUUAUUUUUCAAGUUGGAACAUUUGUAUAUAGCUCUAGCAACUCUAUGAUUUGCCUUGUUAUGACUAGUGUAGGCCAUAUUUCUGCAAGUGAUAGCAUUUCAGAGAAUCAUUAAGUUGUAUAGGCGUUCUACACCAGCGUCAAAGUUGAAGUCUCAUUUCUGUACUCAAUAAAAAAAAUUUUUUCAGGUAUAUCAGGCAAAACGCGAUUGGAGAAAGAAAAAGAGUAACGUUUAGGAAGAACAAAAAAAGGCUUGGAUACCGAAGAAGAGACAAAAAAUGACCAUAGCUGGACCGGAAGGAGCACAUCGAAAAUAUAGAGAAAGAUACUAAAAAAAACUAUUAAGAAGCUGGGAAAUAAAAUCAAUUAAAGACUACACACCAAGAGCACAAAAAACAAUAUGAAAGAGUUGGCCAGAGCGUGUAUAAGGAUUGAAAAGAAGAUAAUUCUCCUUCAAGUCCAGUUUCACAAAUAUCUACAGUAUUUUCUAGAUUUUCCUUAGAUCAAAGUCUUGCAGACAAAAAUAGAUGAACACUGAAAUUAGAAAAUUUGCUUCUUAAGCUGAGAAAAUUAAGCUAGCAGAGUUUGAAAAACAGCUCAAAUUUGCUCCCAUUACAAAGUUAGACUUAUUUACUUUACUCCCAAAAAAAAAAAAACUGAAGACUGACCUGAUUUAACGAAACCAACCCAUUCACAGCUGGUAUCUGCAGAACCAAUCAUAAUAUAGGAAUAUACAGGAACCCAAUAACGACAACGUCACGUCCAGGGUUGAAAUUUUUUACAGAUCAACCUUUGAAUGUGAGGGUACUUCUGAUAUUUUUCAAACUGGAAAA